Arabidopsis thaliana (thale cress) is the source of this 205-nucleotide long non-coding RNA. RefSeq annotates it as other RNA. The record is from RefSeq. The transcript has a single exon. Lineage: Eukaryota; Viridiplantae; Streptophyta; Magnoliopsida; Brassicales; Brassicaceae.
UGCACGGUUUCAAACGAAUGUUAUAUAGUAAGACUUUUGUCAUACGCACGCACAUAAGAAUAAGACAAGUAGUCAUAUGAAUAGAGAAUAGUAUGUAGUAUAUGUGAUACUAAUUGUUGUUAACGAUAGGUUCUAAGUUCCGACAAUGAGGUCCCAAGUUGUCUCCUCCUUAUCCAAAUUCUCAAGUAUAUUCCAAUGUAAAUUU